UUUCUAUCUCCCCAGAAAUGGCGCUUACAAAAGAAAACAGGCAAAACAACACCAUCAGUGUACAAAAACAUAAUUUGAUACAAGGUGACCUGCUGCAGGUUUUACCAAUAGCUAAUUAAGCUAAUUAAGCUCCUGCACACACCCAACGCUAAGGUUUUGCUUCACGUUAUACUGAAUGGGAACAGAUACACUUGGAGGAUCAUUGUGGUGUGCGGUUUUCUUCUUCUUGAAGUGUUGCCUGCGACUUCAGCGCCCAAAAUCAGCCUCAGAGAUUUUCUAGCAGAAAAGCUAUUAAAGGGUCUUUGGAUGAAAAAAUGGGUUUCCAGGAAUGUCAUCGAGUAUUUCUGACUCUGUUUCAAUAUACAUUUAAAAGAUCCAUAGUCUGCCCCUGGGUGCAUUGUAGUUGCAUUUUUUAUGGGGAACUUAAUCUUACAUAUUUGGCAUCUCAUUUAAUCAGUGGUAGUCAAGACGGUUUGCUGUAUUUGAAAACAUCAAGCAGAGUGACGCAUUGGGCAAAAUAAUUAUUUUAUAAAAUAACAAAAAAAAAGAGAACAUUUUGCUAGAGAUAAAGAUAAUGUAGUAGACUGACUAAAGCUUUCUGACAGGAGCCCUCUCAUGGGAUGUGUAUAAUUCAAGAGUACAAAUGAGAAUGCAGAAACGCUUAUUCAGAUUCUUCUCUUCAUAAACUUUUUUUUUUAUUUAUAAUAAUGUUGGAAAAUUAAGUUCUGUUGCAUAAAAAUGUAAACUUGAAAAAUUCGAUAAAAUAAAAACCACAAAUACAGCUAUUGUUGAGCUGAAGUGUUUUCCUUCCAUUGUGU
Molecule: long non-coding RNA, 818 nt
Organism: Xenopus laevis (African clawed frog)
Lineage: Eukaryota; Metazoa; Chordata; Amphibia; Anura; Pipidae
Exons: 3
Source: RefSeq, a predicted model, not a curated record